Molecule: long non-coding RNA, 2203 nt
Organism: Gasterosteus aculeatus aculeatus (three-spined stickleback)
Lineage: Eukaryota; Metazoa; Chordata; Actinopteri; Perciformes; Gasterosteidae
Source: Ensembl
GCUUUCUUCAUUGUAGUCAUGAUUGUAUUGUUUAACCAGUAGCUCCUCUAAGUUCACGAUGGACAGUCGGUUGACAGCAGCAGCAGGGCAGCCAUUCUCAUCCCUGCUGUUGUCUCCUCUCAAAGGACCAUAUAUGACCCACCCCAAUAGGGUCCUCACAGCGUAUGGUCCAUUGGCUUGGCUAUUGACCACCUCCCAAGGUUCCAAUGCCUUAGAAGCAUUUGUGCCUAUGAGCAGGUCAAUGCCAGAAUCUAUUUCAUGAAUCUUGACGUCCUUCAAGUAAGGCCAUUGCAUCAGGUCUUCUUGUCUGGGAAUGUUGAGCUUGGAAACAGGCAUGAUCUUAUGUGUAAAUACAUUGGGCAGUUGUAUGAAAUCAGUUUUGUCCAGACUUGAUAUCUCUAAACCUGGGAUAUGAUGACUAGUCACAGGUUUCACUUGGUUCAUUGUACGUAAAAGAAUACUAGUCUUUUGUCCUGUUACAUUCAGUCUUCUCAUCAGGCUUUCUGUGCAGAAGGUGGCUGAGCUUCCAUGGUCCAAAAACGCAUACGUCUGCAACACAGUGUCUCCUUUGGGGGUCUUCACUUGUACUGGCACAAUAGAGAAGAGACAGGCUAUUUCACCGGCCCCAAUAUGCCCACAUGUAUGAGGUGUUGCAGUAGUUGCAAAACUGCUUCCUCUUGGUCUCGGCCUCUCUCUUGCUGUGACAUAGGGUUUGACGGAUGUAGUUGUCUUAGCAUCCUGGAUGUUCCCAAAAAGUGGAUCCGACAAUAUCUUCACUUGUCUCUCCAUGAAGUCUACCAAGUCAGAGAAACUAGCUCGACGUCCAUGUUGUUCCUGGAGCUGACAUGCCCUAUUCCUCCACUUGUCUCUGAGCUUGUAAGGCAGUUUCAGAAGAAUGGUCUUCAUACUGGAAGCGACGUUCAACUCCUCCAUAUAGGUGAGUUGUUCCAUUGCAUUGCAACAACCUCUCAGGAAUAAUGUAAACGCUUGCAAUGCUUUCACGUCCUCUGGCUUAAUCGCUGGCCAGGCAAACGCUUUGUUCAUGUAUGCUGUAGCAAUCUUAUGUUCGCUACCAAAAUGUUCUUUAAGCAGUUCUUUUGCUCUUUUAUAGCCCUCAGCCGAAGACAAAUGUUGACAGCUGUGGACUAAAUCCUUUGGAUACCCUCUGGUAUAUUGCUCUAGGAAAUGCAGGCAGUCACUGUAGUCAUCAGUCUUUCUUUCCACUCCUCUCUCGAAUGCCCUGAUGAAAACUCCAUAUUGCAAGGGAUCACCAUCAUAAACGGGAAUAUCUCUUGGUGGUAAAGUAGAAGAGAGAUUGUGUUGAGCUAGAAGAGAGGUUAUGUCACUUUGCUUCUGAAUGAUGUGAUAGAUAUCACCUUGAUUAUGAUCAUUAUAUCCAGGUUGUGUUAGAGGAGUCAUAUCCUGAGCUCUAACAGAUGGUCCAUCAGCGCUUUUCUUUGGCUGAACAACCUGUUGCUGGGAAGAUGAUUCUGUUCCUGUCCGCACAUUCAGUCUUUGUUGCACUUGAUCGGGAAAAUAGGUGUUUGCAUGUGGAUUUUCUUUGACUGACCUUUUCCAUUGAACAGUUCCUUUUUCCAAAUAAGAGUUCAUUCCGUCUGACACUCUUGAGCUAUUUCUUGAUUCAAGUACAUUGAUUUUUGCAUUGGUUGCUGCCAGUUCAGUCUCUAGUUCCAGUUGUUCUUUCUUCCUUUUCAGUUGUUCUUCCUGCCUUUUCAGUUGUUCUUCCUGCCUUUUCAGUUGUUCUUCCUGAGCCUCCAGGUCGUGCAUUUUCUGCAGAGCGGCGACCCGUUCCAUGAGAGCAGCCUUUUCUGCAUGAGCUUUAAUGCGAGCAGAGGAUGUUGAAGAGGCACGUGAUGAAGAACUUGAUUUGUUGCUUGAUUUGGGUUUUGACACAUUAGAAAUACUGUCAUCCGGUCCAAUGUCAUCUGUGAUUAUAUUUUCAGCAAUGGUAUGCGUUGCAUGCCAUCCAACCUCUGAAAACCACACAUUUACAUCCUGUAUAAAACCAUCAAAAAUUGUCAUUUUUUGUUGAAACCAGUGAUUUUGCUUUUCAAGUUCAUUUUCAGGCAAUGGUAACUUCACCAAUGACUCAUGACUUCUUUUGGCAUCAUUACAGAGGUUGAUUAAUGUAACCAAGUUAGAUUGCACUUCAUUUGCAUUCCCUUUUGAUUUCAUGAGCUCU